GGGUUGUGAGGUUAAGCGACUAAGCGUACACGGUGGAUGCCCUGGCAGUCAGAGGCGAUGAAGGGCGUGCUAAUCUGCGAUAAGCGCCGGUAAGGUGAUAUGAACCGUUAUAACCGGCGAUACCCGAAUGGGGAAACCCAGUGUGAUUCGUCACACUAUCAUUAACUGAAUCCAUAGGUUAAUGAGGCGAACCGGGGGAACUGAAACAUCUAAGUACCCCGAGGAAAAGAAAUCAACCGAGAUUCCCCCAGUAGCGGCGAGCGAACGGGGAGGAGCCCAGAGCCUGAAUCAGCAUGUGUGUUAGUGGAAGCGUCUGGAAAGGCGCGCGAUACAGGGUGACAGCCCCGUACACAAAAGCGCAUGUGCUGUGAGCUCGAUGAGUAGGGCGGGACACGUGGUAUCCUGUCUGAAUAUGGGGGGACCAUCCUCCAAGGCUAAAUACUCCUGACUGACCGAUAGUGAACCAGUACCGUGAGGGAAAGGCGAAAAGAACCCCGGCGAGGGGAGUGAAAAAGAACCUGAAACCGUGUACGUACAAGCAGUGGGANNNNNNNNNNNNNNNNNNNNNNNNNNNNNNNGGGCGUUAAGUUGCAGGGUAUAGACCCGAAACCCGGUGAUCUAGCCAUGGGCAGGUUGAAGGUUGGGUAACACUAACUGGAGGACCGAACCGACUAAUGUUGAAAAAUUAGCGGAUGACCUGUGGCUGGGGGUGAAAGGCCAAUCAAACCGGGAGAUAGCUGGUUCUCCCCGAAAGCUAUUUAGGUAGCGCCUCGUGAAUUCAUCUCCGGGGGUAGAGCACUGUUUCGGCUAGGGGGCCAUCCCGGCUUACCAACCCGAUGCAAACUGCGAAUACCGGAGAAUGUUAUCACGGGAGACACACGGCGGGUGCUAACGUCCGUCGUGAAGAGGGAAACAACCCAGACCGCCAGCUAAGGUCCCAAAGUCAUGGUUAAGUGGGAAACGAUGUGGGAAGGCCCAGACAGCCAGGAUGUUGGCUUAGAAGCAGCCAUCAUUUAAAGAAAGCGUAAUAGCUCACUGGUCGAGUCGGCCUGCGCGGAAGAUGUAACGGGGCUAAACCAUGCACCGAAGCUGCGGCAGCGACACUGUGUGUUGUUGGGUAGGGGAGCGUUCUGUAAGCCUGCGAAGGUGGCCUGUGAGGGUUGCUGGAGGUAUCAGAAGUGCGAAUGCUGACAUAAGUAACGAUAAAGCGGGUGAAAAGCCCGCUCGCCGGAAGACCAAGGGUUCCUGUCCAACGUUAAUCGGGGCAGGGUGAGUCGACCCCUAAGGCGAGGCCGAAAGGCGUAGUCGAUGGGAAACGGGUUAAUAUUCCCGUACUUGGUGUUACUGCGAAGGGGGGACGGAGAAGGCUAUGUUGGCCGGGCGACGGUUGUCCCGGUUUAAGCGUGUAGGUGUGUGUUCCAGGUAAAUCCGGUUCACUUUAACACUGAGGCGUGACGACGAGGCACUACGGUGCUGAAGCAACAAAUGCCCUGCUUCCAGGAAAAGCCUCUAAGCAUCAGGUAACAUCAAAUCGUACCCCAAACCGACACAGGUGGUCAGGUAGAGAAUACCAAGGCGCUUGAGAGAACUCGGGUGAAGGAACUAGGCAAAAUGGUGCCGUAACUUCGGGAGAAGGCACGCUGACACGUAGGUGAAGUGAUUUACUCAUGGAGCUGAAGUCAGUCGAAGAUACCAGCUGGCUGCAACUGUUUAUUAAAAACACAGCACUGUGCAAACACGAAAGUGGACGUAUACGGUGUGACGCCUGCCCGGUGCCGGAAGGUUAAUUGAUGGGGUCAGCGCAAGCGAAGCUCCUGAUCGAAGCCCCGGUAAACGGCGGCCGUAACUAUAACGGUCCUAAGGUAGCGAAAUUCCUUGUCGGGUAAGUUCCGACCUGCACGAAUGGCGUAAUGAUGGCCAGGCUGUCUCCACCCGAGACUCAGUGAAAUUGAACUCGCUGUGAAGAUGCAGUGUACCCGCGGCAAGACGGAAAGACCCCGUGAACCUUUACUAUAGCUUGACACUGAACAUUGAGCCUUGAUGUGUAGGAUAGGUGGGAGGCUUUGAAGUGUGGACGCCAGUCUGCAUGGAGCCGACCUUGAAAUACCACCCUUUAAUGUUUGAUGUUCUAACGUGGACCCGUUACCCGGGUUGCGGACAGUGUCUGGUGGGUAGUUUGACUGGGGCGGUCUCCUCCUAAAGAGUAACGGAGGAGCACGAAGGUUGGCUAAUCCUGGUCGGACAUCAGGAGGUUAGUGCAAUGGCAUAAGCCAGCUUGACUGCGAGCGUGACGGCGCGAGCAGGUGCGAAAGCAGGUCAUAGUGAUCCGGUGGUUCUGAAUGGAAGGGCCAUCGCUCAACGGAUAAAAGGUACUCCGGGGAUAACAGGCUGAUACCGCCCAAGAGUUCAUAUCGACGGCGGUGUUUGGCACCUCGAUGUCGGCUCAUCACAUCCUGGGGCUGAAGUAGGUCCCAAGGGUAUGGCUGUUCGCCAUUUAAAGUGGUACGCGAGCUGGGUUUAGAACGUCGUGAGACAGUUCGGUCCCUAUCUGCCGUGGGCGCUGGAGAACUGAGGGGGGCUGCUCCUAGUACGAGAGGACCGGAGUGGACGCAUCACUGGUGUUCGGGUUGUCAUGCCAAUGGCACUGCCCGGUAGCUAAAUGCGGAAGAGAUAAGUGCUGAAAGCAUCUAAGCACGAAACUUGCCCCGAGAUGAGUUCUCCCUGAGACUUAGAGUCUCCUGAAGGAACGUUGAAGACGACGACGUUGAUAGGCCGGGUGUGUAAGCGCAGCGAUGCGUUGAGCUAACCGGUACUAAUGAACCGUGAGGCUUAACCUUACAACGCCGAAG
Molecule: ribosomal RNA, 2849 nt
Filed under: Salmonella enterica subsp. enterica serovar Enteritidis
Lineage: Bacteria; Pseudomonadati; Pseudomonadota; Gammaproteobacteria; Enterobacterales; Enterobacteriaceae
Description: bacterial LSU rRNA
Rfam family: Bacterial large subunit ribosomal RNA
Source: RNAcentral